This 259-nucleotide ribosomal RNA is filed under the name uncultured prokaryote. Its description in RNAcentral is "partial 16S ribosomal RNA". It matches the Rfam family "Bacterial small subunit ribosomal RNA", at positions 524 to 782 of the family's 1533-position model. The record is from RNAcentral.
UACGUAGGUGGCAAGCGUUAUCCAGAAUUAUUGGACGUAAAGAGCGCGCAGGUGGUUGAUUAAGUCUGAUGUGAAAGCCCACGGCUUAACCGUGGAGGGUCAUUGGAAACUGGUCGACUUGAGUGCAGAAGAGGGAAGUGGAAUUCCAUGUGUAGCGGUGAAAUGCGUAGAGAUAUGGAGGAACACCAGUGGCGAAGGCGGCUUCCUGGUCUGUAACUGACACUGAGGCGCGAAGGCGUGGGGAGCAAACAGGAUUAGA